Molecule: non-coding RNA, 107 nt
Organism: Crucibulum laeve
Lineage: Eukaryota; Fungi; Basidiomycota; Agaricomycetes; Agaricales; Nidulariaceae
Source: the annotation of a GenBank genome assembly
UCGAGUAUGGUGUAAUGGCUAACAUUGCCGCCUCUCAUAUGUAAUAACCACUAAGGUUUCAUGGUAAAUUUUCGCGGCAGCUCGGGGUUCGAUUCCCCGUACUCGAA